This 353-nucleotide ribosomal RNA is filed under the name uncultured bacterium. RNAcentral's name for it is "bacterial SSU rRNA". It matches the Rfam family "Bacterial small subunit ribosomal RNA", at positions 917 to 1271 of the family's 1533-position model. The record is from RNAcentral.
GGGCCCGCACAAGCGGUGGAGUAUGUGGUUUAAUUCGAUGCAACGCGAAGAACCUUACCAGGGUUUGACAUCCUGCGAAUCUCUUGGAAACUUGAGAGUGCCUUCGGGAGCGCAGUGACAGGUGGUGCAUGGCUGUCGUCAGCUCGUGUCGUGAGAUGUUGGGUUAAGUCCCGCAACGAGCGCAACCCACGUCUUUAGUUGCCAGCAUUUAGUUGGGCACUCUAGAGAGACCGCCGGUGAUAAACCGGAGGAAGGUGUGGAUGACGUCAAGUCAUCAUGCCCCUUACAUCCUGGGCUACACACGUACUACAAUGCUACGGACAAAGGGCAGCAAGUUCGCGAGGACAAGCAAA